Molecule: long non-coding RNA, 1870 nt
Organism: Pleuronectes platessa (European plaice)
Lineage: Eukaryota; Metazoa; Chordata; Actinopteri; Pleuronectiformes; Pleuronectidae
Exons: 2
Source: RefSeq, a predicted model, not a curated record
GUACCGGAGGUAUAAGAUAGAGAGACAGACUUGAUCAGUAGAUGGCGCUGUUGGGACAGUGUCUUUAUGAAACCAAAGGCCUUCUCUUCAGCCUAUAUGUGAAGUCAAAAGCCUGAAACCACAUGUUCCAUUGUUCUGGAAAAAGCCAGAUCACAGGGAACUCAGUCUCCCAGGAUUCCUCAACUUCACACAGAGGUGUGAAAAGCCACAAGGGUCACUCCUAUUGGUCACUCUGUACCCCAUGACCUGUGAGGUCCCGGGCAAUAUAAGCCCGCUUCUCCCCCUCCUCGAUCUCUUUCUUCAAUCCGUCUGAGGGCGGAAGGAUGUCCAGCCUCUCUUGCUGCAUCGCAGACAGGAGAAGCCUGAUUUCUCCAGCUCGUAUCAUCUCUACGCGUCCAACUCUACGAGAGGAGCGCAAAGGUUCAGCUUCCAGCUCAUCUCACCAAGGAAACCUCCUCGCAACUCAAGCUCUACCAAACUCCUAGUAGCAACUCAAUGUCCUGCAGGGGAACUUCAACCAGCAACUGAGUUCCACAGCUCAACAGAACCACGAAGGUAGAAAUCAAAGGACCAGCCAGAAGACUUCACAGAAUUGCGAACUGAACUGCAACUUCCUUUUUCCCUUUUCCUCGGACGAGUAACACAACUGGGCUUAACAAUUAUACUAGGCUAAGCAAAACUGUUUAUUCGAUUUUUUGUGGUGUUUAUAAGUUUGAUUUGUGUUGUGAUACUUUGGUUAUAAGUUAUUCGAAAGUAAUUUUAAUUUGCUAGGCUCCUCCUCCCCAGUCUUUCUUUGCAUUUCAUUCUACACCCUUUGUCUGACUUAGAACCAACACAGACACACGCAUAUCUCUUCACAUAGUUAUCUCCUCCCACGCUACCUGUCGUAAAACCACUUCAAAAGAAGGGGGGCUGUUUCUUUAGGUUGACCAGCGACCAUCUUAGAAGCACAGAGGAAGAUGCUAACCUUUUGGACAGCCGCCAUUUUGGGAGAACUCCGAUUUACAUAGACACACACACUCACAUACACAACUUUGUUUAGUUAGCAAGUUGUUAGCAAUUUGUGUUUUUAUACUAUAUUAUAUUCAUAAUAAAUGUUCAUUCAUUAAUGUUGCAGCAGAGAAUUAGCGCAGAAACAAAGAGAGCCACGUUUGAGUUUAACUUCCUGACGCAACGUGUUCAUGACCUAGUUUCAGAAGCAGUUUGUUGAUUUGACUGAACCAUCGCUGGCAUCAUCGUUUCCCACAGGCUGGAAAACUGUGUGAGUUCAUUAAACUGGGAAAAACAAAGUGAACUGGGUCACAUUUAAACUAUUGAUUUAGUUCAUGAGAUGUUUGAACUUAAACAAAACUGGGGGAGUGUUGUGCCAAUCUGCUCAGAUUGGUUGACAGUCAAGCGAUGACUCAGGCUCCAUUUACUACAAAACAGACUCACAUUCGCCUGUAUCUUUACCACAUCUUCAUUUUGUAGUGAAGCAGUGCUCCCUAAAAACUAUCAAAAUGGCUCUCUCACUCUUCACCGUCGGACAAUUAAUUUUCUUAUUUUGGACAAUAAGAAUCAAUGAAGCCAACCCCGACCCCGCAGCCAAAGCUGCCGCAGUCGCCGACCCUGCCGCAGCCGCUGUAGCCCCCGCCGCUGACGCCUUCUCAGCAGCCGCCGACACUGCCUCUGACGCCGCCGCCGCCGCAGCCGCCACCGCCGCUGCCGCCAAAGCCGCCGCCGAAAAAACCGCCCGAGACGCCGCUGCAGCAGCCGCAGCCACCGCCAGAGGUUAAGGAUCGUGGUCGUCUUGAUGUGGGAUCAUGUGAACAUCUGACCAGCGAGAUGUUACCAAUCUGCUGAAUAAACCUGAGAAGCUGUUUGUUGAAAA